GACGAACGCUGGCGGCGUGCCUAAUACAUGCAAGUAGAACGCACAGUUUAUACCGUAGCUUGCUACACCAUAGACUGUGAGUUGCGAACGGGAGAGUAACGCGUAGGUAACCUGCCUGGGAGCGGGUGAUAACUACUGGAAACGAUAGCUAAUAUCGCUUAAUAUUGAUUAUUGCAUGAUAAUAGAUUGAAAGAUGCUAUUGCAUCACUACAAGCUGGCCCUACGUUGUAUUAGCUAGUAGGUGAGGUAACGGCUCACCCAGGCAACGAUACAUAGCCGACCUGAGAGGGUGAUCGGCCACACUGGAACUGAGACACGGCCCAGACUCCUACGGGAGGCAGCAGUAGGGAAUCUUCGGCAAUGGGCGAAAGUCUGACCGAGCAACGCCGCGUGAGUGAAGAAGGUUUUCGGAUCGUAAAACUCUGUUAUAAGGGAAGAACGUGUGUGAGAGUGGAAAGUUCACUCUGGGCCGGUAUCUUACCAGAAAGGAACGGCUAACUACGU
RNAcentral lists this ribosomal RNA (504 nucleotides) under uncultured bacterium. Its description in RNAcentral is "partial 16S ribosomal RNA". It matches the Rfam family "Bacterial small subunit ribosomal RNA", at positions 28 to 506 of the family's 1533-position model. The record is from RNAcentral.